UAUCAUGAUGAACAAGAGCCAUGUGCUCGAAAUAAUCCCAGCUCGUCGACAGCAGUCUCGCUUUAUAUCUCACGUUAGAGACUGCUAUGAGAGAAAGUCCAACCCUGAUUU
This 111-nucleotide small nucleolar RNA is filed under the name Exophiala xenobiotica. RNAcentral's name for it is "A. fumigatus snoRNA Afu_304". It matches the Rfam family "A. fumigatus snoRNA Afu_304". Lineage: Eukaryota; Fungi; Ascomycota; Eurotiomycetes; Chaetothyriales; Herpotrichiellaceae. The record is from Rfam by way of RNAcentral.